GAUGAACGCUGGCGGCGUGCCUAAUACAUGCCAGUCGAGCGAACGGACGAGAAGCUUGCUUCUCUGAUGUUAGCGGCGGACGGGUGAGUAACACGUGGAUAACCUACCUAUAAGACUGGGAUAACUUCGGGAAACCGGAGCUAAUACCGGAUAAUAUUUUGAACCGCAUGGUUCAAAAGUGAAAGACGGUCUUGCUGUCACUUAUAGAUGGAUCCGCGCUGCAUUAGCUAGUUGGUAAGGUAACGGCUUACCAAGGCAACGAUGCAUAGCCGACCUGAGAGGGUGAUCGGCCACCCUGGAACUGAGCCACGGUCCAGACUCCUACGGGAGGCAGCAGUAGGGAAUCUUCCGCAAUGGGCGAAAGCCUGACGGAGCAACGCCGCGUGAGUGAUGAAGGUCUUCGGAUCGUAAAACUCUGUUAUUAGGGAAGAACAUAUGUGUAAGUAACUGUGCACAUCUUGACGGUACCUAAUCAGAAAGCCACGGCUAACUACGUG
RNAcentral lists this ribosomal RNA (497 nucleotides) under uncultured bacterium. Its description in RNAcentral is "partial 16S ribosomal RNA". It matches the Rfam family "Bacterial small subunit ribosomal RNA", at positions 28 to 507 of the family's 1533-position model. The record is from RNAcentral.